RNAcentral lists this transfer RNA (73 nucleotides) under Ishige okamurae. Its description in RNAcentral is "tRNA-Met". It matches the Rfam family "tRNA". From Rfam's summary of the family: Transfer RNA (tRNA) molecules are approximately 80 nucleotides in length. Lineage: Eukaryota; Phaeophyceae; Ectocarpales; Ishigeaceae. The record is from RNAcentral.
AGCGGCGUAAUUCAGGGGUCAGAAUAUUGGAAUCAUAACCCAAAAGUCAAGGGUUCAAAUCCCUUCCCCGCUA